This 919-nucleotide long non-coding RNA is filed under the name Trifolium pratense (red clover). RNAcentral's name for it is "long non-coding RNA (TPRA_LNC008153)". The record is from RNAcentral. Lineage: Eukaryota; Viridiplantae; Streptophyta; Magnoliopsida; Fabales; Fabaceae.
UCUUCAAAGUAGUCUUCAAAACUGCUUAUCUAAAAUAAAAUCUCAGUGAGACUUAUGCUUUGUUUGGUAAGAAAUAGGGUACGUCUGAUAAGCUAGCUUACAACAGAUGAGCUUAUAACUUAUAAGUUAGCUUUUAGCUGAUAGCGAAUAAGCUAGAUGAUUGAAUUUGUCGUGUUUGGUAAAAUUAGCGGUUGAACUAGCUUAUAAGUAUGAAAAUGACAAAAAAGAUAUAUUUAAUUUUUUUUUUCAAGUAAGAUGGCAGGGUAAAAUUGGAAGAAAAAAUGAUAAGUUAUAACCUCUUAAGCUACUUGAAAUAGCGUUUGAAAAAUAAGCUAUAAGCUUUUUUUGAAAAAUUGUUACUAAACAAGUCUUUUUAAACCAAAUGAGCUUAUAAGCUAACUUAUGUGUCUUCCCAAACAAAGCCUUAAUUACCACAAACAUAAUAUACAAUUAUUGUCAUACAAUUAUCAUAUCUAUAGCACUUUUAAUUAUAUAUUGAUAUAAUUAUUUUUCCUUGUGAUAUAAGUCUUUCCAAGCUGCGGACAGACUACUCAACUUAUCACAUGGGGGAAUUUCGUUAUCCUCAGAGAACUUUUCAGGCGCCGCGAUACAACCAAGGUAAAUGUAGUAUUAAUGGAAAAAGAGAUCCCCUAUAAAUCUCGAAGCAAAAUGACUAGGAAGCACAUCUUUGCUCAUUUUAGUCGGCAGAAAAUGACAAGAUUGUUGUAUACUAGAACUGUUCAUUGCUGGUUUCUGAUAUUUGUUAUCUAUCAAAUUCAAUUUUUCAUCAUUGUGACAAGAUUGGCUGAAGUUUAUUUAAAAUACCAUAAUCAAAUGCAAGUUUAAAAGAGCCAUAAACUUGUUCUAUUUUGAAAUCUCAAUGGAAUUUGAUUCUUGUAGAACAUAUUAAAUAUGUAAG